UGAGACCUGAUGCCGAGCCGAUUGUGGUGAAGUGGAUGAUCCUAUGCUGUCGAGAAAAGCCUCUAGCGAGUUUCAUGGCGGCCCGUACCCUAAACCGACUCAGGUGGUCAGGUAGAGAAUACCGAGGCGUUCGGGUGAACUAUGGUUAAGGAACUCGGCAAAAUGCCCCCGUAACUUCGGGAGAAGGGGGGCCACACCUGGUGACGGAGUUUACCUCUUGAGCUGGGGGUGGCCGCAGAGACCAGCGAGAAGCGACUGUUUACUAAAAACACAGGUCCGUGCGAAGCCGUAAGGCGAUGUAUACGGACUGACGCCUGCCCGGUGCUGGAACGUUAAGGGGACCGGUUAGCUGCUCUUCGGGGUGGCGAAGCUGAGAACUUAAGCGCCAGUAAACGGCGGUGGUAACUAUAACCAUCCUAAGGUAGCGAAAUUCCUUGUCGGGUAAGUUCCGACCUGCACGAAUGGCGUAACGACUUCUCGACUGUCUCAACCAUAGGCCCGGUGAAAUUGCACUACGAGUAAAGAUGCUCGUUUCGCGCAGCAGGACGGAAAGACCCCGGGACCUUUACUAUAGUUUGAUAUUGGUGUUCGGUUCGGCUUGUGUAGGAUAGGUGGGAGACUGUGAAGCGGCCACGCCAGUGGUUGUGGAGUCGUCGUUGAAAUACCACUCUGGUCGUGCUGGAUGUCUAACCUGGGUCCGUGAUCCGGAUCAGGGACAGUGUCUGAUGGGUAGUUUAACUGGGGCGGUUGCCUCCUAAAGGGUAACGGAGGCGCCCAAAGGUUCCCUCAGCCUGGUUGGUAAUCAGGUGUUGAGUGUAAGUGCACAAGGGAGCUUGACUGUGAGACCGACGGGUCGAGCAGGGACGAAAGUCGGGACUAGUGAUCCGGCAGUGGCUUGUGGAAGCGCUGUCGCUCAACGGAUAAAAGGUACCCCGGGGAUAACAGGCUGAUCUUCCCCAAGAGUCCAUAUCGACGGGAUGGUUUGGCACCUCGAUGUCGGCUCGUCGCAUCCUGGGGCUGGAGUCGGUCCCAAGGGUUGGGCUGUUCGCCCAUUAAAGCGGUACGCGAGCUGGGUUUAGAACGUCGUGAGACAGUUCGGUCCCUAUCCGCUGUGCGCGUAGGAAUAUUGAGAAGGGCUGUCCCUAGUACGAGAGGACCGGGACGGACGAACCUCUGGUGUGCCAGUUGUUCUGCCAAGGGCAUGGCUGGUUGGCUACGUUCGGAAAGGAUAACCGCUGAAAGCAUCUAAGCGGGAAGCCUGCUUCGAGAUGAGUAUUCCCACCCUCUUGAGGGGUUAAGGCUCCCAGUAGACGACUGGGUUGAUAGGCCAGAUGUGGAAGCCCUGUGAGGGGUGGAGCUGACUGGUACUAAUAGGCCGAGGGCUUGUCCUC
RNAcentral lists this ribosomal RNA (1391 nucleotides) under Streptomyces cavourensis. RNAcentral's name for it is "partial 23S ribosomal RNA". It matches the Rfam family "Bacterial large subunit ribosomal RNA", at positions 1557 to 2925 of the family's 2925-position model. The record is from RNAcentral. RNAcentral also lists the same sequence under 2 other names. Lineage: Bacteria; Bacillati; Actinomycetota; Actinomycetes; Kitasatosporales; Streptomycetaceae.